This is a long non-coding RNA of Suricata suricatta (meerkat), 573 nucleotides long. RefSeq lists it as uncharacterized. The transcript has 3 exons. Lineage: Eukaryota; Metazoa; Chordata; Mammalia; Carnivora; Herpestidae. The record is from RefSeq and is a predicted model, not a curated record.
AGACUCCAGCACAGCCCGAUGAGCUCGAGGGGCUAAGGCAGGAGAAGUGGGGAGCCUGGCGGAGGAAAGCGUGCCGCAAAGGACAGAAGGGUCCCCCAGAGGCCCGGGGCUCAACUAAGUCCAAAGGACCUGGAAAGGGCAAAAUGAGGGUGGGAACUUUCAAACGAGAAGGAAAAAAAGGCACGUGGAGGAAGUUUCCCAAACACCCGCCCCUUCCCCUCAUUUGUCUGCUCCGGGACCUACACUUCAGAGAAGUCCAAGGAGAAACAACAGCAAGCACCCCCACUGCUCCAGGAAGAACCUGAAUCAGAGCGAGGAACCGCCCUCAUCCUGUGGCACAGAUGAGGAAACGGAGGUCUAGGGACGUGAAUUAACCUCCCCAGCAGCACGUGGCUGGAAAAUGGCGAGGGGACCGGCAAUACCGUGCACCGGACAGCAGCCGGGUGGACUAGGACUAGGCCUCGAGUCGGAUGGCCUUGGGAUCGAGUUCUAAUCCAGCUGCUUACUGAAUGUGACUUUGGUCUGUGCCCCAAGUGCAUCAAUAAAAUGGGCGUAGUGUUGGGAUUAAGUAAA